RNAcentral lists this ribosomal RNA (468 nucleotides) under Proteus mirabilis. Its description in RNAcentral is "bacterial SSU rRNA". It matches the Rfam family "Bacterial small subunit ribosomal RNA", at positions 55 to 513 of the family's 1533-position model. Lineage: Bacteria; Pseudomonadati; Pseudomonadota; Gammaproteobacteria; Enterobacterales; Morganellaceae. The record is from RNAcentral.
AUGCAGUCGAGCGGUAACAGGAGAAAGCUUGCUUUCUUGCUGACGAGCGGCGGACGGGUGAGUAAUGUAUGGGGAUCUGCCCGAUAGAGGGGGAUAACUACUGGAAACGGUGGCUAAUACCGCAUAAUGUCUACGGACCAAAGCAGGGGCUCUUCGGACCUUGCACUAUCGGAUGAACCCAUAUGGGAUUAGCUAGUAGGUGGGGUAAAGGCUCACCUAGGCGACGAUCUCUAGCUGGUCUGAGAGGAUGAUCAGCCACACUGGGACUGAGACACGGCCCAGACUCCUACGGGAGGCAGCAGUGGGGAAUAUUGCACAAUGGGCGCAAGCCUGAUGCAGCCAUGCCGCGUGUAUGAAGAAGGCCUUAGGGUUGUAAAGUACUUUCAGCGGGGAGGAAGGUGAUAAGGUUAAUACCCUUAUCAAUUGACGUUACCCGCAGAAGAAGCACCGGCUAACUCCGUGCCAGCC